Molecule: ribosomal RNA, 468 nt
Filed under: uncultured bacterium
Lineage: Bacteria
Description: partial 16S ribosomal RNA
Rfam family: Bacterial small subunit ribosomal RNA
Source: RNAcentral
GACGAACGCUGGCGGCGUGCUUAACACAUGCAAGUCGAACGGAAAGGCCCUGCUUUUGUGGGGUGCUCGAGUGGCGAACGGGUGAGUAACACGUGAGUAACCUGCCCUUGACUUUGGGAUAACUUCAGGAAACUGGGGCUAAUACCGGAUAGGAGCUCCUGCUGCAUGGUGGGGGUUGGAAAGUUUCGGCGGUUGGGGAUGGACUCGCGGCUUAUCCGCUUGUUGGUGGGGUAGUGGCUUACCAAGGGUUUGACGGGUAGCCGGCCUGGGAGGGUGACCGGCCACAUUGGUACUGAGAUACGGCCCAGACUCCUACGGGAGGCAGCAGUGGGGAAUAUUGCACAAUGGGCGGAAGCCUGAUGCAGCAACGCCGCGUGCGGGAUGACGGCCUUCGGGUUGUAAACCGCUUUCGCCUGUGACGAAGCGUGAGUGACGGUAAUGGGUAAAGAAGCACCGGCUAACUACGUG